CGUGUUGUGACUUCGCAGUUUAGUCUCUGAAGGAAUUUUUCCGUAAACACGUGUUAGGCUGAUGCCUUUUAAUUUUAAGCAAGCUCAGUGGGAGAGAAACGGCCACAGCUAUUUGUGAGCAGCCUGACUCCUGCUUGGGCAUGCAAACCAGUAUUUUGCAACUGGAAAUGACGUCUCAGUCCUCUGUUUUUUCGACGCCGAUGAUUGUGAAGCUCACCGCUGAAAUAUGCGUGGCACGAGCGAACAGAUGCGCGCGCGGACAGCAGGUGGUCCAGAGUGCGCGAGUGUCUCGCUCAGUCUGUUCGAAGGUGUGCGUUUUACGCAGAUGCCGGGUGGGCGGGCAAUGCGGAAACGGAGAUUAUUCCGUUUACAGAUGUUCUCUGUAUUCGCCUUUGGACUCUGCUGGCGUUAUUUUUGAGCGUACUGUAAUAUAACGUUCGGUUAAGACUCGCGGUUUGUUUUUUUCUGUAUAUAUAUAAAUAAGUCUUCAAAGUCCGGUUUUAAUGAACCUGAGACGCUGAGUUAAUAAAUCUCUAAAAGUAAUCUGACGCGUGAAUGUUAAAAUGGCUACCCCUGAUAAUUUUAUAUAUCAGUAAUUUCUUAGGACACGCUAUUAUCGUUAGAAUCAGCGCCGUAGUUGUUGCGAUCUGGCAUUAAGAAAACGCCCGCGUCUUUGGCUUUCCCAGUCCAGUGUCGUAAAGUAACAAAGUUUACUGAUGCCUCAGUGUUCAUCGAGCGCACGUUAGACUUUCGACAAGCACUUUAUGCGCCACAGCGUCCGUGUACAAUAACAUCGGAAAUGAAAAUUACAGGUACACCAUCGCUGGUGGCGCAGUGUAUCGCUGCAUCUUGCCAAUGUCAACGUCCAGUCAGUGCACUGAGGCGCUUAUAACUGUUGUUGAAAUCUGAUCUUGCUAAUCUCUUUGUAUUUUGGAAUGUGUGGGUAUUCACACCUGCUGUGUGAACGUUGUUUUUUUGCCUGUCACAUUUAAAAAAAAAAAAAAAAAAAAAAAUUUUGGUUUAAGAGGCUUGUUUUGACAAGUUCCACAGCAGUGGAUUGUUGAUGCAUAUUGUAUCUUUGUGUAUGUACACUUUAUAUUCUAAAACAAAAGACUUUUAAUAACCAAGAUGGCAAAAGAAAUAUAGUCCAGUUAUGGUGUAAAAAAAGAGAAUCUUUUGACCUUACUGUUGACCAGACCUUUGCCUUGUUUAUAGAGUUUCUGGAAAGCGGUGAAAUGUAAAAUUUUAAAACAGUUGGUAGCUGUGUACAGUUAGUACCACUGCCUGUCCAAACGUGUGAUGUCAUUAAGGCUGCGAUUUUAUCAGGGAUUCUGUGAAAUCAAUAGAUUCUUGUGAAAAUCCUCAAUUUUACACUUAUGUAGGAGUUUAAGCAAAGCAAAUUACUCAUUUCAAAGGGCAGGAAAAAAGUGAAGAUGCUUUUUUUUUUUUACAGACUCUACCUUGGUUUGGGUUUGCCGCUGACAGGCUCUUACCGUGUGAACUGUGUACAGUUAAUAGAAUCCAAUGCUGGUUAAAAAGCAACAGCGUAUUAUUACCCAAUAGCAAACCAGACGAGAGAAACUAGUCUCAGUGGCUGCAGGGAAUGUUUCAUGAAAGUGGCAAAGGAAUGAGGUUUGGUGCAGAUGACAUGUCCCUGAAGACAGCGAGCCAGAGGGCGUAAUUGCAAACUCUGUGCUUGGUGCUUUGCAUAUAAGAGCUUGCCUGUCGGGUAGACAGCAGUCUUUCGCUCUGACACAGUCCUUGUUGGCUAAGAAAAACCUUGAUAUGGCAGCAGACGUGAAACAGGUAUUACUGGUUCAGAUUUUUUAAAUCAACCUGCCACCAUUUUUACCAUUUCUUCUAUUUUGCAUUUUGGAGAGUAUCCCAACAAGGAUAAACAUAUUGAGUGCCCAUUUCAAAGAUGACUUUCAGGUUGCCAUACACUGUUCUCAGCAAACAGCAGACCCAAUCCAAUGUUAGAAUCUGGUUUCUUAUAGCUAGUUUCUAAACCUUUCGUUCUGUCAUAAAAUAACCGUUCAUAUUGAGUGUGUACAUUUCCAUGAUGUCAUAACAUUGUCUGCUAGUUCCGUUGCAUUGCUAACUGCACUCUUCUUGUUUCUUGCCUGACAGUUUACACACACAAAACACUUU
Long non-coding RNA from Anguilla rostrata (American eel), 2151 nucleotides. RefSeq lists it as uncharacterized. The record is from RefSeq and is a predicted model, not a curated record. NCBI's taxonomy places the organism in Eukaryota, Metazoa, Chordata, Actinopteri, Anguilliformes, Anguillidae. The transcript has 2 exons.